AUGGGGCGAGGCAAGGCCAGUUUCGACGAGUCGGAAAUCGCCAAACUCCUGGCUAUGAAGGGCGAAUUUCUGCAGCACCGUGAUGAAACUGCAGAACUGCGUGGCGAAGUCAACGAUCUCUGCAAGGAUGUGCAUGGCAUCAGCCUCAAGCAAGACACCAUGGUCUCGGUGAUGGACGGAGUCCAAAAAGCUAUUUCUUCCCUGAAUACACAGCUUGCAACUAUGGCAGAUGUGUUAAAAUCCUUGACACUCACAGAUGCGUCAACAUCCACACAACCAGUUCCUAAACAGCAGAUCCCAAACAAAGAGGCAAGUGCACCUGAGGACAGACCACUAACUGAAGAAUUGCGCAAACGCCUAGCACUUGAACAGGCCAAAACCCGUCAUGUUGCUGCGCAAAUACCCCCCAACCUUGCACCAAUUCAGGUUCCUCGGCCAGCUGUUCCUGCAGGGUUUGGUGCUGCUGCAGCCCUUGAUGCUCCUUUGGGUAAUGCCACUCCCACAACAGCCUACAAAACUGCUCGUACACCCAGUUUCAACAAUUUUCAACCUGCCGGAGUACACCAAGCUUGGGAUGAAUUUCCCAAACAGUAUGAGCAAGAAAUGAGGACACAAUUCCUCAAGAGCAUCACCAAAGGACCUCACAUGGAUGUCCCAUGCUUUGAUGGUGAAAACCCAGCAGGAUGGAUCCGACAGUGCGACAAAUAUUUUUAG
Molecule: ribosomal RNA, 714 nt
Filed under: Triticum aestivum (bread wheat)
Lineage: Eukaryota; Viridiplantae; Streptophyta; Magnoliopsida; Poales; Poaceae
Description: partial small subunit ribosomal RNA
Source: RNAcentral